Phyllopteryx taeniolatus (common seadragon) is the source of this 1846-nucleotide long non-coding RNA. RefSeq lists it as uncharacterized. The record is from RefSeq and is a predicted model, not a curated record. The transcript has 3 exons. NCBI's taxonomy places the organism in Eukaryota, Metazoa, Chordata, Actinopteri, Syngnathiformes, Syngnathidae.
AGUCACCUCUCGGUCGCUCAGGCUAGCGGAUGUGUGUGUGUGUGUGUUUAUGGCGACACACCAAGGUUAUUACAUUAAACGAAAACAAGCAAAAUAACUACAAUUAAAAUUGGGGGAAAAAAAAUAACGAAAUAAAAUAAAAACGAAAAUGUUUUUUUAAAACAAUAACUAACUGAAAAUACAUUUUACGUUUACAAAACUAACUAAAGUUAACUAAUGAUAGCAAAAAUGUCCUUAGUUUUCGUCUGCACAAUGCUCUUUGCACCGGACUAUUGCAAUAUUCGUCUUUCGAACUGCUCUAAGUGCUAGAGGACUCUGCAAAAAAGAAUAAAUAAAAUGUGCCAGCAUGACCAGAUAACUAGCAACCCUUUAUUGCUCAGUGACUGCGUUUGUCAAUGUUUUUAUGUGUUCUCUGUCAAUUGACCGUCUGUUGUCGCACUCGAGCGGCGCCAACGGCCGGAGACAAAUUCCUCGUGUGUUUUUUGAACAUACUUGGCAAAUAAAGAUGAUUGUGAUUCUGAUUUGAUCGAAGAAAGAACGUUGAACAGUCGUUUGGGAAUUGAAGUUCUUUGACUGUGUGUCGCCUCGAAACUAAGUCAUCGAGCAACAGCCAAUAAAAAGGCGCUACGCGAUGACGUCACUUCUCGACACUCCCUCGGCGCUCGCCGCUGGCUGGUUGACAACUUGACAGAUUUGAAAUGGCUCCCCUUCGUGUGUCACUCAACUCAGCCCGAAACGCGACACCAGAUGAUUGCCAUGCUUUCUCUGGGGGCAACAAUGGACAAGAGAAACCCAAGUAAAAACAUCCAUCCAUCCAUCUUCUUCCGCUGAGCCGAGGUCGGGUUGCGGGGAUAGUCGCUUCAGCAGGGACGCCCAGACUUCCCUCUCCCCAGCCACUUCAUCCGGCUCCUCCGGGGGGAUCCCGAGGCACUCCGAGGCCAGCUGGGAGACAUAGUCUCUCCAGUGUGUCCUGGGUCGUCCCCGGGGUCUCCUCCCAGUGGGACAUGUCCGGAACACCUCACCAGGGAGGUUUCCGGGAGGCAUGGAGGAGGAUGCCGGUCCGACCUGGCAGGCCCAAACGUAUCGUGAGGGUCUGCUGGGAACGUCUGGCAGAAUCCCCUGUCAGAAGGAGUUUCAACUCCCACCUCCCGGGGAGGCGGGGGACAUUGAAUCCGAGUCACGGUUGACACGCCUCUGCGACAUCACGUGGACAUCGGGGACAGUGCCUCUGGAUUGGCAGACUGGGGUGGUGGUCCCCCUUUUUAAAAAGGGAAGGUGAUACCGCUUGCCACGUUGACCCAUUUCCACGGUGCUUCGUGACUGUCACCAUGAUAACGCUGCGUGUUUCUCCCCCCACCAGUUGCAGUUUCCUGAGCGCGGCCGCUCAUUGGUUGUGCGGUCGCUAGGUAACGGACCACGCCACCACCGCCCUGCUGCACUACCAACUGCCGCGGAUGCCCGACGUGCUCGUGCGCUCCUUCGUGGGCGGAAAACACCAAACUGCGGCAAGCGCCGGCUCACGCUUGCUCACGUCUCCUCGCAAGACGUGUCGGACCCCGCGUCGGGAUCCGUCCCGCAAGCGAACCGGCUCGAUUGCAGAGAAAGAAAGCACAAAUCGUCCUCUGAGGGUUGUGCGAAAACUGUGGGUGGGUUUGCGCAAUAGCCCCGAGACCGCCUCUUGUCACUCAUCGGCCAAUCGCAACGGUCAUCUGCACUCUCCCCCCUCGCGUGCACUUUGGCCUGCCUUCUUCUUUUUUUUCUGGAGUUCAUGGAAAACCAGCUCAUCCGUGCGUCAUCGCCGACAACUGGCCGAACCAAAACAAAUAAUAAACACUUGGAAAAUGUA